RNAcentral lists this long non-coding RNA (207 nucleotides) under Lathyrus oleraceus (garden pea). Its description in RNAcentral is "Pisum sativum (pea) long non-coding RNA (PSAT_LNC040895)". The record is from RNAcentral. Lineage: Eukaryota; Viridiplantae; Streptophyta; Magnoliopsida; Fabales; Fabaceae.
UAAUCCUGGAAAGUGAAGCAUCUGAGCUCUGGAUCAUAAAACUGUAGUAGCGUCUGCAGAGGCACUGGAUCUACUACCGUCUUCAAUACUGUCAAGAUAUCUCCAUACCUCCCGACAAAACUCUUCAGUCGAUCGUCUGUCACGAGGCUACCCAACUCAGCUAGCGGAGUCAACGGCUCACGGUGGAAACUGUAGGAACAGGUCUUC